CAUCUGCGGCCAUAGAACCUUGAAAGCACCGCAUCCCGUC
This 40-nucleotide ribosomal RNA is filed under the name Tilletia caries (wheat bunt fungus). Lineage: Eukaryota; Fungi; Basidiomycota; Exobasidiomycetes; Tilletiales; Tilletiaceae. The record is from RNAcentral. RNAcentral also lists the same sequence under 2 other names.